CAUAUUUUGUAUAUAACGAAAUAAAAUGUAACUUAAAGGGAUAGUUUACCAAAAAUUAAAUCACUGUCAUCGUUUGCUCACCCCUAAACUAGGGCUGGGCGAUAUAGCCUAAAAAAAAAUCCCAGAUUUUUUUCACAAAAAAAUCAGAUUUACACACACUUAAAAUCAAUAUUCAGAUGACAAAGAAAUUGUUCAAAAUAAGUUUUUAAAAUAAGUUUUUAAUAAAGUUAAAAAUAAGUUUUAACUUUAUUUUGUUUUGAUUUUCCCUUCUGGGAUUUGAUCUGGAUUUCCACAUUGGGGUUAAAGUGCAAUCAAAAACAACAAGCCAAAAAGAGCGCAGGCCCUGCCAUUGUAAACAGUGAAAAUGUAACAUAACAUUACAUAAAAUGUAACAUACCAGAUAAAGUUUGUAAAUGUUUGUAAGACUGUCGGUGGUCUUCACUAUUUUUUUCAUGGGAGCUACACUGAUAGGGCAAGGUCAUUCAGAGAGCCACUUUUACCGCAAAGUAUCAAAAGUUACAUCUAGUCAUAAAUAGCAUGUCUUUUUGUUAAUCUGUCAUCCCUGAUAUGCAAUGCAAUACAAAAAUAUAUAUAUACUAGCCCAUCAUGCAUCUAACCAUCCAUCCAAGUGCACACUAAGUGUUAAGAGCUGCUAAAGGGGUCCUUUUAAGCUCUUUUACAAGGUCUUCAUUUUGUUUUGGGGUGUACUAGAACAGGCUCUCAUACUAGGUUGUUCGAAAAACACAUUAUUUUUCACAUAUUUUACAUUAUUACAACUCUCUCCCCAGUCUGGCAUGAACGGCUGGAAUAGUUCCUGUAUCAAAUGAAGGCCCGCCUUCUGAUAUACGAAAUUCUGACUUCGCUACGACAAUCUGGUGCUUCUGAAUCAGCUACUGCUUUCCAUGCACCAGUAACCCUGCAGACUGAGUCGUCAUCCCACCAGCCCUGCUAUCGGCCCAUCACUGUGAUCCUCUGGCUCCACGACUACUGUGGCCACUGACAGUGCGGUUUUUUGUAGAUGAGGUUUCUGCUAUUGAAAUAGGCCUGCAUUGAUUUUCAAAGGCAAAAUACUUGUGAUCCUAGAGUGUUACGGUGUGGUUUAGUUUGCAGAAAUCUUACAUUCGUCAAAUUUUUUAACUAAAGGCUGAAUAAAUUGCAUGCGGAAGGAAAAUCCAGAAAUAAUGAGAAUGAAAAGCCUUUCAUGUACAAUAUGUGAUUCCGUAAACAAAACCGAUGCGAAUUAGCUCAUCUGUCUGAGGAGAUUUACUGGAUUGUUAUGAAACAGGAUACUGAGCAGCAACAGCCUCUGUCAGGGAACAUCAUGAUGUUAGUUGUUUCCAGGACCAAAUGACUUGUUGCCAAAUGCCAAAUUAUGUUAAUACGCUUAACAACAACCACGUGUAAAGUCGCAGAGACUCAGGGGUGAAGAAAUGAUUUGAAAAUGGGUUGAGACACAUUAAAGUAUGGAUAUUCAUUCUACCGAAAGCUUGGUGGGUACAUGGGGUGAAGACAAGCAUUUUAAAAUGUUUGGAAGUUGUAAUUUUUACUAUGUCUUGUAAACUGGUUAUACUACUCAAUAAUAAUACAGCACAAGUUUGGAGAAAAGAAAUACAAUAAAACAAUCUGCACAUUCUUUGAAUAAGGAACAAAUUGGUGUCUUAUUCCUUUUUUUUAACCUAUUAGAAAUAUAACUGUGUCACUGUGCAUGGAAGCCUACAGCAUGAUUUUCCCCAAUUAAUGUCCUUAAAACUGU
This is a long non-coding RNA of Cyprinus carpio carpio, 1753 nucleotides long. NCBI's taxonomy places the organism in Eukaryota, Metazoa, Chordata, Actinopteri, Cypriniformes, Cyprinidae. The record is from Ensembl.